RNAcentral lists this ribosomal RNA (528 nucleotides) under uncultured bacterium. RNAcentral describes it as "partial 16S ribosomal RNA". It matches the Rfam family "Bacterial small subunit ribosomal RNA", at positions 28 to 523 of the family's 1533-position model. The record is from RNAcentral.
GACGAACGCUGGCGGCGUGCCUAAUACAUGCAAGUCGAGCGCAGGAAGUUAUCUGAUCCUUUUCGGAGGUGACGAUAAUGGAAUGAGCGGCGGACGGAUGAGUAACACGUAGGCAACCUGCCUGUAAGACUGGGAUAACUCGUGGAAACGCGAGCUAAUACCGGAUAACACUUUUCAUCUCCUGAUGAGAAGUUGAAAGGCGGCUUUUGCUGUCACUUACAGAUUGGCCUGCGGCGCAUUAGCUAGUUGGUAAGGUAACGGCUUACCAAGGCGACGAUGCGUAGCCGACCUGAGAGGGUGAUCGGCCACACUGGGACUGAGACACGGCCCAGACUCCUACGGGAGGCAGCAGUAGGGAAUCUUCCGCAAUGGACGAAAGUCUGACGGAGCAACGCCGCGUGAGUGAUGAAGGUUUUCGGAUCGUAAAACUCUGUUGUUAGGGAAGAACAAGUGCCAUAGUAACUGAUGGCACCUUGACGGUACCUAACCAGAAAGCCACGGCUAACUACGUGCCAGCAGCCGCAGUAA